This 615-nucleotide ribosomal RNA is filed under the name Coenosopsia ferrari. RNAcentral describes it as "partial small subunit ribosomal RNA". The stretch from base 403 to 474 matches the Rfam family "tRNA". The record is from RNAcentral. Lineage: Eukaryota; Metazoa; Arthropoda; Insecta; Diptera; Anthomyiidae.
UAGUUAUGUUCUUGAAACUUAAAAAAUUUGGCGGUAUUUUAGUCUAUUCAGAGGAACCUGUUCUGUAAUCGAUAAUCCACGAUGGACCUUACUUAAAUUUGUACUCAGUUUAUAUACCGUCGUUAUUAGAAUAUUUUAUAAGAAUGUUAAUUUUCAUAAUUUUUAAAAAGAAAAUAUAUCAGAUCAAGGUGUAGCUUAUAUUUAAGUAGAAAUGGGUUACAAUAAAAUUAUUUAUACGAAUAAAAAUAUGAAAAAUUUAUUGAAGGUGGAUUUGAUAGUAAAAUUAUAAAGAUUAAUAAUUUGAUUUUAGCUCUAAAAUAUGCACACAUCGCCCGUCACUCUUACUAUUAAGGUAAGAUAAGUCGUAACAUAGUAGAUGUACUGGAAAGUGUACCUAGAAUGCAAUUUAAAGCUUAUUAAGUAAAGCAUUUCAUUUACAUUGAAAAGAUUUUUGUGCAAAUCAAUAUAAAUUGAUUAAAUUUUAUUUAUUAAUUCUUUUUUUUUAAAAAUUAAAUUAUUAAAAAUAAUUAUAAAAUGAUUUGUUUUAGUAUUUAAUAAAGAAAAAAUAAUUUUAAUUAUAGUGUAAUAGUAUUGUGAAAGAAAAUUGAAAUAAUU